CAGAACAGAUUCCCUUGGAACCCUGUGAAGCUUCUAUCUAGAUUAUUUUCUUUCAUUUUUGAGGAGUUUAGUGACGAUGAGAUCUACAAAGCAGCAGCUGAGUUGUGCUCAAAUAUUGUAAGUUAUAGGGCUAUAGCCAAGGAACCUUGGCUAAAAGACAGAUACAUGGCAGUACACUACCAAGAUGUAAGUAAGCAACAACAAAAAUGAAAGUUUCAGACUAGAAUUGAAUUUAACUAUUUAAGGUUUAAUGUUUGUGGUUCAAAUUCCAAUUCUAAGAAGUCGAUUAUUCAUUCUACGUUUAGUUUGGCUCCUUCACGAUAUCUUACAGAUAGUCGAUAAACCCUACGAAAAGCUAGAAGAGUUGUAUAAAUUUGUGAACAAGCCAGUGACAGAAAAAGUUAUUAAGUUUGUAGCAACUUCGAUGAACGGCAAAAAAACUUCUUCCGAUUUCGACGUAAUCAAAGAUUCAGUAGCCGUAUCAGAGAAAUGGCGAGAUAUGGAUGUUGAAAAAAUUCGUAUCAUCGAAAAUGCCUGCAGUGCAUUCUUUCAAACGUUUGACUAUCAAUUAUUUGACGGGAAAAUUUGAACUACAGAGGGGUUUUUAUGAUCUGUCAGUUUUUUGAU
This is a long non-coding RNA of Bolinopsis microptera, 627 nucleotides long. RefSeq lists it as uncharacterized. The transcript is spliced from 3 exons. The record is from RefSeq and is a predicted model, not a curated record. Lineage: Eukaryota; Metazoa; Ctenophora; Tentaculata; Lobata; Bolinopsidae.